AGUGAACGCUGGCGGUAGGCCUAACACAUGCAAGUCGAACGGCAGCACAGUAAGAGCUUGCUCUUACGGGUGGCGAGUGGCGGACGGGUGAGGAAUACAUCGGAAUCUACUUUUUCGUGGGGGAUAACGUAGGGAAACUUACGCUAAUACCGCAUACGACCUACGGGUGAAAGCAGGGGAUCUUCGGGCCUUGCGCGUCUGAAUGAGCCGAUGUCGGAUUAGCUAGUUGGCGGGGUAAAGGCCCACCAAGGCGACGAUCCGUAGCUGGUCUGAGAGGAUGAUCAGCCACACUGGAACUGAGACACGGUCCAGACUCCUACGGGAGGCAGCAGUGGGGAAUAUUGGACAAUGGGCGCAAGCCUGAUCCAGCCAUACCGCGUGGGUGAAGAAGGCCUUCGGGUUGUAAAGCCCUUUUGUUGGGAAAGAAAAGCAGCAGGUGAAUACCCCGCUGUUCUGACGGUACCCAAAGAAUAAGCACCGGCUAACUUCGUG
This 492-nucleotide ribosomal RNA is filed under the name uncultured bacterium. Its description in RNAcentral is "partial 16S ribosomal RNA". It matches the Rfam family "Bacterial small subunit ribosomal RNA", at positions 29 to 507 of the family's 1533-position model. The record is from RNAcentral.